GGGUCGAAGACGCCUAAUCUCCGCGUCACGCGCGGGGAGCGGGGGACCCACAGAAGGCGAGACCUUCAGGGGCGCAUUGGCGCGUUGCCGCCAUAGGACACUUCCGAGUCCGAGCCCGUCAGCUAACCCCGUCGGCGUGUGACGGAAGCGCA
RNAcentral lists this small RNA (152 nucleotides) under Acidobacteriota bacterium. RNAcentral's name for it is "Acidobacteria bacterium c-di-AMP sequence". It matches the Rfam family "c-di-AMP riboswitch aptamer (ydaO/yuaA leader)". From Rfam's summary of the family: This family represents a conserved RNA structure found upstream of the ydaO and yuaA genes in Bacillus subtilis and related genes in other bacteria. The ydaO/yuaA element is thought to act as a genetic "off" switch for the ydaO and yuaA genes in its native state. The record is from RNAcentral. Lineage: Bacteria; Pseudomonadati; Acidobacteriota.